Molecule: ribosomal RNA, 418 nt
Filed under: uncultured bacterium
Lineage: Bacteria
Description: bacterial SSU rRNA
Rfam family: Bacterial small subunit ribosomal RNA
Source: RNAcentral
UGGGGAAUAUUGCACAAUGGGCGCAAGCCUGAUGCAGCGACGCCGCGUGAGGGAUGACGGCCUUCGGGUUGUAAACCUCUUUCAGCACAGACGAAGCGCAAGUGACGGUAUGUGCAGAAGAAGCACCGGCCAACUACGUGCCAGCAGCCGCGGUAAUACGUAGGGUGCGAGCGUUGUCCGGAAUUACUGGGCGUAAAGAGCUCGUAGGUGGUUUGUCGCGUUGUUCGUGAAAACCGGGGCUUAACCCUCGGCGUGCGGGCGAUACGGGCAGACUGGAGUACUGCAGGGGAGACUGGAAUUCCUGGUGUAGCGGUGGAAUGCGCAGAUAUCAGGAGGAACACCGGUGGCGAAGGCGGGUCUCUGGGCAGUAACUGACGCUGAGGAGCGAAAGCGUGGGGAGCGAACAGGAUUAGAUACC